This 1183-nucleotide ribosomal RNA is filed under the name Campylobacter jejuni subsp. jejuni 87459. Its description in RNAcentral is "bacterial LSU rRNA". It matches the Rfam family "Bacterial large subunit ribosomal RNA", at positions 1 to 1209 of the family's 2925-position model. The record is from RNAcentral. Lineage: Bacteria; Pseudomonadati; Campylobacterota; Epsilonproteobacteria; Campylobacterales; Campylobacteraceae.
AGCUACUAAGAGCGAAUGGUGGAUGCCUUGACUGGUAAAGGCGAUGAAGGACGUACUAGACUGCGAUAAGCUACGGGGAGCUGUCAAGAAGCUUUGAUCCGUAGAUUUCCGAAUGGGGCAACCCAAUGUAUAGAGAUAUGCAUUACCUAUAUAGGAGCGAACGAGGGGAAUUGAAACAUCUUAGUACCCUCAGGAAAAGAAAUCAAUAGAGAUUGCGUCAGUAGCGGCGAGCGAAAGCGCAAGAGGGCAAACCCAGUGCUUGCACUGGGGGUUGUAGGACUGCAAUGUGCAAGAGGUAAGUUUAGCAGAACAUUCUGGAAAGUAUAACCAUAGAGGGUGAUAGUCCCGUAUGCGAAAAACAAACCUUAGCUAGCAGUAUCCUGAGUAGGGCGGGACACGAGGAAUCCUGUCUGAAUCCGGGUCGACCACGAUCCAACCCUAAAUACUAAUACCAGAUCGAUAGUGCACAAGUACCGUGAGGGAAAGGUGAAAAGAACUGAGGUGAUCAGAGUGAAAUAGAACCUGAAACCAUUUGCUUACAAUCAUUCAGAGCCCUAUGUAGCAAUACAGGGUGAUGGACUGCCUUUUGCAUAAUGAGCCUGCGAGUUGUGGUGUCUGGCAAGGUUAAGCAAACGCGAAGCCGUAGCGAAAGCGAGUCUGAAUAGGGCGCUUAGUCAGAUGCUGCAGACCCGAAACGAAGUGAUCUAUCCAUGAGCAAGUUGAAGCUAGUGUAAGAACUAGUGGAGGACUGAACCCAUAGGCGUUGAAAAGCCCCGGGAUGACUUGUGGAUAGGGGUGAAAGGCCAAUCAAACUUCGUGAUAGCUGGUUCUCUCCGAAAUAUAUUUAGGUAUAGCGUUGUGUCGUAAUAUAAGGGGGUAGAGCACUGAAUGGGCUAGGGCAUACACCAAUGUACCAAACCCUAUCAAACUCCGAAUACCUUAUAUGUAAUCACAGCAGUCAGGCGGCGAGUGAUAAAAUCCGUCGUCAAGAGGGAAACAACCCAGACUACCAGCUAAGGUCCCUAAAUCUUACUUAAGUGGAAAACGAUGUGAAGUUACUUAAACAACCAGGAGGUUGGCUUAGAAGCAGCCAUCCUUUAAAGAAAGCGUAAUAGCUCACUGGUCUAGUGAUUUUGCGCGGAAAAUAUAACGGGGCUAAAGUAAGUACCGAAGCUGUAGACUU